GACGAACGCUGGCGGCGUGCUUAACACAUGCAAGUCGAACGGGCCCGCCCCUGUUUUUGGGGGUGGGUUGAGUGGCGAACGGGUGAGUAUCACGUGAGUAACCUGCCCCCUGCUCCUGGAUAACUGCUUGAAAGGGCGGCUAAUACGGGGUGUGCCGGCUGGUCCGCAUGGGCCUGGUCGGGAUAGUUUCAUCUUCGGGUGUUUCGGUGGGGGAUGGGCUCGCGGCCUAUCAGCUUGUUGGUGGGGUGAUGGCCCACCAAGGCGGUGACGGGUAGCCGGCCUGAGAGGGUGGGCGGCCACACUGGGACUGAGACACGGCCCAGACUCCUGCGGGAUGCAGCAGUGGGGGGUAUUGCACAAUGGGCGGAAGCCUGAUGCAGCGACGUCGCGUGAGGGAUGGAGGCCUUCGGGUUGUGAACCUCUUUCUCCGGUGGUGAAGGCCCUGUCCGUUGCGGCGGGGUUGACGGUAGCCGGGUAUGAAGCGCCGGCUAACUACGUG
Molecule: ribosomal RNA, 499 nt
Filed under: uncultured bacterium
Lineage: Bacteria
Description: partial 16S ribosomal RNA
Rfam family: Bacterial small subunit ribosomal RNA
Source: RNAcentral